This 1002-nucleotide small RNA is filed under the name Pongo abelii (Sumatran orangutan). Its description in RNAcentral is "retained intron". Lineage: Eukaryota; Metazoa; Chordata; Mammalia; Primates; Hominidae. The record is from RNAcentral.
UCCAGAUGGACUUUCUGGCCGAGACCAGCCAGUGGAGCUGCUGAAUCCUGCCCGCGUGAACCACAUGCCCAGCACGGUGGAUGUGGCCACGGCGCUGCCUCUGCAAGUGGCCCCCUCGGCAGUGCCCAUGGACCUGCGCCUGGACCACCAGUUCUCACUGCCUGUGGCAGAGCCGGCCCUGCGGGAGCAGCAGCUGCAGCAGGAGCUCCUGGCGCUCAAGCAGAAGCAGCAGAUCCAGAGGCAGAUCCUCAUCGCCGAGUUCCAGAGACAGCACGAGCAGCUCUCCCGGCAGCACGAGGCGCAGCUCCACGAGCACAUCAAGCCCAACACAGAUCCUGGCUGAGGAUGGCCUCAGGGGCUCCUGCUGAAUUCCAUUUUUCCUGUUGUCACUGCACCCUGGUGAGCCCUGCAGUCCUUGCCGUUGAUCACCUGGAGCAUUCACAGCGCGUGAUUAGGAGACCCCACCCCAAAGCCGCCAUGGGUGUCGGUGCAGAGCGAGGUUAAGGAGAUGGGAUUGUGGAUGUCUCAUUCCGUGCUGGUUGAAUUUGUAGCUUUUACAAGAAGAAGACGUAGAUGAGAAGCUGAGAAGUAAGCCUAAGCCCUUUGUGUUUGACCGGGGCUCCUCAAGGUAGUCCUAGGAGGCCAGAAGACGUAAAGAAGACACUUGAGUUGGGGUGAGUGCUGCCACCUCAGGGUGAGGCCAGGUGCCACCUCCAGAACCCCUCUGCCUCUCCUCUCCUGGUGCCCCAGGAGCUGGCUUCACUGCUUAGAAGAGAGCACCCCGACCCCAGUCCUCACGUCACUCCUACAGGCCAGGCCUUCAGGCCAUGUUCCUCAUUCCUGGAGGUGUCCCUGGGAGAGCCCACCCCACCCUGCAGGGCGGACCCUCGGAGAGAUGGCCAUGGUUCUACAUGGCUCUGGAGCCAGUCUCUGGGCCAGGGUCUCAAAAGCACAGAAGGAAGUUCAAGGUUGCCUUUCUCUUUGCAUUUUGAUCAUUUAUUU